GUGGGGAAUAUUGGACAAUGGGCGCAAGCCUGAUCCAGCCAUGCCGCGUGAGUGAUGAAGGCCCUAGGGUUGUAAAGCUCUUUCACCGGUGAAGAUAAUGACGGUAACCGGAGAAGAAGCCCUGGCUAACUUCGUGCCAGCAGCCGCGGUAAUACGAAGGGGGCUAGCGUUGUUCGGAAUUACUGGGCGUAAAGCGCACGUAGGCGGACAUUUAAGUCAGGGGUGAAAUCCCAGAGCUCAACUCUGGAACUGCCUUUGAUACUGGGUGUCUUGAGUAUGGAAGAGGUAAGUGGAAUUCCGAGUGUAGAGGUGAAAUUCGUAGAUAUUCGGAGGAACACCAGUGGCGAAGGCGGCUUACUGGUCCAUUACUGACGCUGAGGUGCGAAAGCGUGGGGAGCAAACAGGAUUAGAUACCCCUGUAGUCC
RNAcentral lists this ribosomal RNA (425 nucleotides) under uncultured bacterium. RNAcentral describes it as "partial 16S ribosomal RNA". It matches the Rfam family "Bacterial small subunit ribosomal RNA", at positions 354 to 796 of the family's 1533-position model. The record is from RNAcentral.